GAGCCUACAGAGGCAGGCAGGCCUCCUUGAGCUGUGGUGGGCUCCGCCCAGUUGGAGCUUCCUGGCUGCUUUGUUUACCUAAUCAAGCCUGGGCAAUGGCGGGCGCCCCUCCCCCCGCCUCGCUGCCGCCUUGCAGUUUGAUCUCAGACUGCUGUGCUAGCAAUCAGCGAGACUCCGUGGGCGUAGGACCCUCCGAGCCAGAGAUGGGAUCUUACUACAUUGCCCAGGCUGAAGUGCAGUGGCUAUUAACAGCUGUAAUCAUAAUGCAUUGCAGCUUUGAAUUCCUGGGCUUGAGCGACCUCCCCACCUUAGCCUCCUGAGUAGCUGAGACUACAGGAAAUAAACUUAAGGAGAAAGAAGAAACAAAGAUGGGGCGGAAAUGUAAGAGAGGCAUUCUAAUAUAUGCAUUCUUCAUAACAACUGUGUGAAACAUAUUAAUAUCCUCAUUGUUAACGAUGAAGAAACUAAAUCUCAGGAAGAAAAACUAAGUGAAGACAAAAGAAGGAUUUGAACUGAGGUUUGUCAGACUCUCGGGACCAUGCUGUUGAAACCACUAAACCACGCUGCCUCUGGGUCACUUGAUUAUUCUGGGAGAUUCUGGGAGUCUUUUCUCCAACACUCCAGUGGCAUCUGACUAUGUGAGCUGAUAAGAUCUAUAGAUCUUUGCUGAACCUGAUUCUGGAAGGUACAACAAUUUCGGCCAUCUUCCUAAUCAAUACUGUGAGAUGGGACCAAAUUGAUUGUGUGGUACAUGAAGCACAGCCCAGGAAAAGCUGAUGAGACCUAGACACCAUUAUAUAUUUUGCCUGACUUAUUAACUUACUCUGUGUCAAAAUUGAGUCCGUUUUUGAUAAAAAUACAGUACUGAGGAACUGUUUCUUUCCUCCUUCUCCAUGUCCUUGUCUCUUCUUGGUUAACAAACCUGACUAGCAAUUGUUUUUCUUUUUUCUUUUUUUGCAGUGUUUGUGAAGAUUUUCUAACCUGGUAUCACACGG
Molecule: long non-coding RNA, 995 nt
Filed under: Homo sapiens (human)
Lineage: Eukaryota; Metazoa; Chordata; Mammalia; Primates; Hominidae
Description: HSALNT0064738
Source: RNAcentral